This 443-nucleotide ribosomal RNA is filed under the name Rana uenoi. RNAcentral describes it as "partial large subunit ribosomal RNA". It matches the Rfam family "Bacterial large subunit ribosomal RNA", at positions 1924 to 2532 of the family's 2925-position model. The record is from RNAcentral. Lineage: Eukaryota; Metazoa; Chordata; Amphibia; Anura; Ranidae.
UUAACGGCCGCGGUACCCUAACCGUGCGAAGGUAGCAUAAUCACUUGUUCUUUAAAUGGGGACUCGUAUCAACGGCACUACGAGGGCUAUACUGUCUCCUUUUUCUAAUCAGUGAAACUGAUCUCCCCGUGAAGAAGCGGGGAUUAAAAUAUAAGACGAGAAGACCCCAUGGAGCUUUAAACUCACCAUGCACCUCUGUGCCCCCCCCAUAUCCUUAAACACAACGGACCUGCAUGCUAGUUUUAGGUUGGGGUGACCACGGAGUACAACUUAACCUCCACAGCAAAUGGGCUAAUACCCUUAUCCACGAGACACAACUCUAAGAAUUAUUAUACUAAUGCUUAUUGACCCGAUAUUCGAUCAAUGAACCAAGUUACCCUGGGGAUAACAGCGCAAUCUACUUCAAGAGCCCAUAUCGACAAGUAGGUUUACGACCUCGAUGU